RNAcentral lists this ribosomal RNA (483 nucleotides) under uncultured bacterium. Its description in RNAcentral is "partial 16S ribosomal RNA". It matches the Rfam family "Bacterial small subunit ribosomal RNA", at positions 30 to 506 of the family's 1533-position model. The record is from RNAcentral.
AUUGAACGCUGGCGGCAGGCCUAACACAUGCAAGUCGAGCGGCUGAAGGGAACUUGCUCGUUGUUUCAGCGGCGGACGGGUGGGUGAUGCCUAGGAACCUGCCUGUUUGUGGUGGAUAACGUCCGGACACAGGCGCUCAUACCCCAUUCGCCCUGAGGACGAAAGUGGGGGAUCUUCGGACCUUCCGCUCUCACAUGAGCCUAGGACGGAUUAGCUAGUUGGGGGGGUAACGGCCUACCAAGCCGACGAUCCGUAACUGGUCUGAGAGGAUGAUCAGUAAAACUGGAAUGGAGACACGGCCCAGACUCCUAGGGGAGGCAGCAGUGGGGAAUAUUGGAAAAGGGGCGAAAGCCUGAUCCAGCCAUGCGGCGGGUUGGAAGAAGGUCUUCGGAUGGUAAAGCACUUUGUGGUGGGAGAAAGGGCAGAAAGUUAAUACCCGGUGGUUUGGAGGUAACCAACAGAAUAAGCACCGGCAAAUUUCGG